This is a long non-coding RNA of Lepidothrix coronata (blue-crowned manakin), 737 nucleotides long. RefSeq lists it as uncharacterized. Lineage: Eukaryota; Metazoa; Chordata; Aves; Passeriformes; Pipridae. The transcript has 2 exons. The record is from RefSeq and is a predicted model, not a curated record.
CUGGAGAAAUUUCCACUGGAGUAAUGCACAGAAAUAGUAUUAAUCCUGUGGAUAUACGAAUUUCACUUUCAAGUGGCGGUUACAUAUCUAUCAUCACUACUCAUUGGGUAGAAUCAUAUAAUGGAAUUUUUGGUUUUUGUUGUUUAAAAAACAUUGAGUGUAAAGUGGUACUGUGUGAUAAAUGGAGUAGUUAAAGGUUAGUGUACCAUUUUUGUAUUUGGGCAUCCCUGUAAGCCCUACUUCUAUUAUGGAUGGAAUCCUGAUGAAGCAGGAAGAAAAAAAAAUGUAUGUGGGCCCAAACAAGGUGUGCUGAACCAAACAGGGAAUUGGUAAAAGGUCAGCCCACUGGAUCCGAAACCAGUAGGCAGGGUUCUUUCUUGGUUUGUUUGUUGUUUGUUUUUUUUCCAGAUGUUCAAGUUCAGCUGGUGAGACCCACACCUGAGAAAAGCCUCCUGUGCUCUCUGUGCCUGAGGAACAGGAAGUAGAUGGGCUCUGUCAGGCUCUCUCUCCCUGAGGAAAACCCUCAAACUCUUUCCAUAGCUGUUUUGGACUUGAUGCCCCUCAUAUGGUCUUUACAGUGAAGAAACACAGACCAUGGCACAUCUUUUAUUCUCUUUUAGGCUUUUUAUCCCCCCUUGGCAAUACUGUAUAUAGAUUGUACCUUUUCCUGUGUCUUAGUUUUCUGUUCAUUUAUUUCAUAAACUUCUUUGGUUGGGAAUAAAAUCUUUAUUAUAGCA